Molecule: ribosomal RNA, 157 nt
Filed under: Klebsiella aerogenes
Lineage: Bacteria; Pseudomonadati; Pseudomonadota; Gammaproteobacteria; Enterobacterales; Enterobacteriaceae
Also listed under: 3 other names
Description: partial 16S ribosomal RNA
Rfam family: Bacterial small subunit ribosomal RNA
Source: RNAcentral
AAAUUGAAGAGUUUGAUCAUGGCUCAGAUUGAACGCUGGCGGCAGGCCUAACACAUGCAAGUCGAGCGGUAGCACAGAGAGCUUGCUCUCGGGUGACGAGCGGCGGACGGGUGAGUAAUGUCUGGGAAACUGCCUGAUGGAGGGGGAUAACUACUGG